GGGCUCACACAAGCGGUGGAGGAUGUGGCUUAAUUCGAUGAUACGCGAGGAACCUUACCAGGGCUUAAAUGCAGAACGACCGGGGUGGAAACACCCCUUUCUUCGGACGGUCUGCAAGGUGCUGCAUGGUUGUCGUCAGCUCGUGCUGUGAAGUGUCGGGUUAAGUCCCAUAACGAGCGCAACCCCUAUUUCUAGUUGCCAGCGGUUCGGCCGGGGACUCUAGAGAAACUGCCAGCGUAAGCUGUGAGGAAGGUGGGGAUGACGUCAAAUCAUCACGGCCCUUACGUCCUGGGCCACACACGUGCUACAAUGGUGGGGACAACGAGUCGCGAACCCGCGAGGGUAAGCUAAUCUUCAAACCCCAUCUCAGUUCGGAUCGGAGUCUGCAACUCGACUCCGUGAAGUUGGAAUCGCUAGUAAUCG
RNAcentral lists this ribosomal RNA (423 nucleotides) under uncultured bacterium. Its description in RNAcentral is "bacterial SSU rRNA". It matches the Rfam family "Bacterial small subunit ribosomal RNA", at positions 917 to 1344 of the family's 1533-position model. The record is from RNAcentral.